GUUGUUCUAUCAAUGAUACAACAUAGCUCGCCUUCUAGCUUUUGUUAAGAUGGUUGAUGCUGUUGUUGUAUCCUGAUACGAAAAUCAUAGAAAUGCUCACUACUUAGCUGUGCUAAAGAUAGUUGAUGCAGAUGAAAAUAUGUGUGCUCAGUCGAUCUGUAUUACGGAUUUUGAAAUGUUGUUCUAUCAAUGAUACAACAUAGCUCGCCUCUUAGCUUUUGUUAAGAUGGUUGAUGCUGUUGUUGUAUCCUGAUACGAAAAUCAUAGAAAUGCACACUACUUAGCUGUGCUAAAGAUAGUUGAUGCAGUCAAAUAUAUAUGUGCUCAGUCGAUCUGUAUUACGGAUUUUGAAAUGUUGCUCUCUUAAGGAUACAACAUAGCUCGCCUUCUACCUUUGUUAAGAUGGUUGAUGCUGUUGUUGUAUCCUGAUACGAAAAUCAUAGAAAUGCUCACUACUUAGCUGUGCUAAAGAUAGUUGAUGCAGAUAAAAAUGUGUGUGCUCAGUCGAUCUGUUUCACGGAUAGAAAAAUGAUCAAUGAUACAACAUAGCUCGCCUUCUAACUAAUGUUAAGAUGGUUGAUGCUGGUGUAUUCUCGUACGGAAUUAGGAGAACAGCUCAUUAAUUAGCUAUGCUAAC
Wyeomyia smithii (pitcher-plant mosquito) is the source of this 637-nucleotide long non-coding RNA. RefSeq lists it as uncharacterized. Lineage: Eukaryota; Metazoa; Arthropoda; Insecta; Diptera; Culicidae. The record is from RefSeq and is a predicted model, not a curated record. The transcript has 4 exons.